GCCUACACAUGCAGUCGAACGCAGUAGCAAUACUGAGUGGCAGACGGGUGAGUAUAAUGUGGGAAUCUGCCUUUUGGUUUGGAAUAACACGAGGAAACUUGUGCUAAUACCGGAUAAGCCUUAACAGGGAAAGUUUUAACGCCAAAAGAUGAGCCCGCACUUGAUUAGCUAGUUGGUAAGGUAAUGGCUUACCAAGGCAACGAUCAAUAGCUGUUCUUAGAGGAAGACCAGCCACAUUGGGACUGAGACACGGCCCAAACUCCUACGGGAGGCAGCAGUGGGGAAUCUUGCACAAUGGGGGCAACCCUGAUGCAGCGAUGCCGCGUGAGUGAAGAAGGCCUUUGGGUUGUAAAACUCUUUCGUCGGGGAAGAAAAUGACUGUACCCGAAUAAGAAGGUCCGGCUAACUUCGUGCCAGCAGCCGCGGUAAUACGAAGGGACCUAGCGUAGUUCGGAAUUACUGGGCUUAAAGAGUUCGUAGGUGGUUGAAAAAGUUAGUGGUGAAAUCCCAGAGCUUAACUCUGGAACUGCCAUUAAAACUUUUCAGCUAGAGUAUGAUAGAGGAAAGCAGAAUUUCUAGUGUAGAGGUGAAAUUCGUAGAUAUUAGAAAGAAUACCAAUUGCGAAGGCAGCUUUCUGGAUCAUUACUGACACUGAGGAACGAAAGCAUGGGUAGCGAAGAGGAUUAGAUACCCUCGUAGUCCAUGCCGUAAACGAUGUGUGUUAGACGUUGGAAAUAUAUUUUUCAGUGUCGCAGCGAAAGCAUUAAGCACACCGCCUGGGGAGUACGACCGCAAGGUUAAAACUCAAAUGAAUUGACGGGGACCCGCACAAGCAGUGGNNCAUGUGGUUUAAUUCGAAGAUACGCGCAGAACCUUACCUACUCUUGACAUACUUGGAGGCUCUUGUAAUGAAGUAGUGCCUUCGGGAGCCAAGAUACAGUGCUGCAUGGCUGUCGUCAGCUCGUGUCGUGAGAUGUUCCGUUAAGUCGAAUAACGAGCGC
Molecule: ribosomal RNA, 1001 nt
Filed under: uncultured bacterium
Lineage: Bacteria
Description: bacterial SSU rRNA
Rfam family: Bacterial small subunit ribosomal RNA
Source: RNAcentral